CCUACGGGAGGCAGCAGUGAGGAAUAUUGGUCAAUGGGCGCAAGGCGGAACCAGCCAAGUAGCGUGAGGGAAGACGGCCCUACGGGUUGUAAACCUCUUUUAUGAGGGGAUAAAGGGGGGCACGUGUGGAUGUUUGCAGGUACGGCAUGAAUAAGGACCGGCUAACUCCGUGCCAGCAGCCGCGGUAAUACGGACGGUCCGUGCGUUAUCCGGAUUUAUUGGGUUUAAAGGGAGCGUAGGGCUGUGCUUAAGGGUGGCGUGAAAUUUUGGGGCUCAACCGUGAGAGGGCGGCGCCUACGGGCGGCCUUGAGUUCACUUGUGGCAGGCGGACUUCGUGGUGUAGCGG
This 346-nucleotide ribosomal RNA is filed under the name uncultured bacterium. RNAcentral's name for it is "partial 16S ribosomal RNA". It matches the Rfam family "Bacterial small subunit ribosomal RNA", at positions 338 to 681 of the family's 1533-position model. The record is from RNAcentral.